UUUUUUGUUUUAUUUUUUUUGGUGUAUACUUCUAUGAAAUUGUAUCAUAUGUCUGGAUUUGAUGAAUACUUAACCACACACAGAAUACAGAACAAUUCUAUCACUACAAAGAAAUUCCUUCAUGUUACCGCUUAAUAGUCACGUCUCUUCCCCAACCCCUAACAGCUACUGAUCUGUUCUUGCACUACAAUUUUGUCAUGUUGAGAAUAUUCUAUAAAUGAAAUUGUGUAGUAUAUAAAUCUUUGAUAUGGGCUUUUUGUCCACAGUCAGCAUAAUACCUUUGAGUUCAUGCAUAGUUUGUUCCUUUUUUUUUUUUUUUUUUUUCCAGGCCAGGGGUUGAAUCAGAGCUGUAGCCGCCCGGCCUACAAUACAGCCACAGUGACAUGGGAUCCGAGCUGCAUCUGUGACCUAUGCCACAGCUCACAGGCAAUGUCGGAUCCUUAACCCACUGAGUGAGGCCAGGGAUCAAACCCUCAUCCUCAUGGAUCCUAGUCGGGUUCGUUAACCACUGAGCCACAAAGAGAACUCAAUAGUUUGUUCCUAUUUGCAGAGUAAUCUAUUGUAUGAACAUACCAGUUUCUUUAUCCAUUCACCUGUUCAAGAACAUCUGUGUUGUUUCUAGUUUGGGUCUAUUAUAAAUAAAGCGGUACGAUAAACAUUUGUGUACAGGUAUUUGUGUAAACGGAUUUUUCAUUUCUCCAGGAUAAGUACUUACGGCCAAAACUUGGCCUCUGUCCACCAGUGCUGAAUAUAAAUAUGGAGACAGAGUUUGGGGCAAAGGAGAAAAAAAAUAGCUUUAUUGCUUUUCUAGGCAAGAGGUCACAGCAGGCUAAUGCCCUUAAGACUGUGCCCUCCUUUGUGAGAGAAUAGGAGGUGGUCUUUCAGUUUUAGGAGUGGAAAAUAGGGCCACAGGUAAGGAUCAGGGUAGGUGCAAGCUUUCAUUCUUCUUCAAGCCUGGCGUUUAGUGGCCCUGGACUUGUUCUGGUUGUCUUCCUUCUUUCCGGAAUGAAGAAUGCUUAAUAACAUCUUUCAUUGAUUCAUUGGUUCGGGGUUUAUUUCUGCAGAAGAGCUCAAAGGUACUUUUAUGUGUAUUCCUUGAGGAGGAACCAGGACCCUGCCCUAGGGCUGCACUGUUUCUUCUGGACUACUUCUCCCUUCUCUCUUCAUCCCCUCCCUUCCCUGAUUAGCAAUUGUUUGAACCUGCCCUUUGGAACUCAGGGAAGGUGUGGAGGCUGAAUGAGGCCUAUUUCCUAAAAACAAGAAGUGGGAGGAUUUCCUGCUGUGGCGUAGUGGGUUAAUGGUCGGGUUUGUCUCUUUGGUGGCGUAUUUUGAUUCUGGCCUGGUCCAAUGGGUUAGGGAUCGAGUGUUGCCACAGCUGUGGCAGAGGUCAUAGCUCCAGCUUGGAUUCAAUCCCUGGCCGAGGAACAUCCAUAUGCUGCAGGUGUGGCUGAAAAAGAAAAAAAGAAAUGGGGAACACAGGAAGGCUUUUUUGCCCAGGAGCCCCACAGGGCCCUGCUCAGCUUCAUACCCAGGAGUAUGACUCCUGACCCAGAAGGAUGACUGCUUAACCUUGUAAGAAACUAUCAGAUAUUUCUAGUGUCUUUACCAGAAAUGUAUGAGAGAUGCAGUUGUUCUUCUAGUCCUUGGUGUUAUCAGUAUUUUUAUUACCAAUUAUUAUUGGUAUUUUAAAAUUAUAGCCAUUCUAGUAGAUGUAAAGUGAUAUCUUAUUGGAGCUUUAAUUUGCAUUUUUCCGUUGGCUAAUGAUGUUGAACAUCUUUCCAUGUGUGGAUUUGUCAUCCAUUUAUCUUCAUGGGUCAAGGGUUUGUUCAAAUUUUUUGCCCAUUUUCUAAUUGGAUUGUUUGUUUUCUUAUUGAGUUUAGAGAGGUCUUUAUAUAUCCUGAUAUCUUUGUUGGCUGUAUGAUUGCAAAUAUUUUCUCCUUGUCUGUGACCAGGGUCUUAUAAAGAGCAAACAUUUUAAAUUUUGACGACAUCCAAUUUAUUGACUUUUUUGGAGCAUGGUUUUGAUGUUUAAGGACUCUUUUGCCUCACUCUUAGUCAUAAGAUUUCUUCAAUGUUUUCUUCUUGAAGUUUUAUGCUUUUAUAUGUUGCAUGGAGAUAAUCCAUUUUGAGUAAAUUUUUGAGUAAGUUUAUGUGUGGAGUUUAUGUUGAGGUGCUUUGUUUUGACUAUGAAUGUUUAUCCCAAAAGCAUUUGUUAAAAAUAUAUCCUUCCUUCUUUGAAAUGCUUUUGCACUUAGUCAAAAAUUAUUUGGCCACAUAUAUGGGCUCUAUUUUGUGUUUUUUGUUUGUUUGUUUGUUUGUUUUUUGUCUAUUUGUCUUUUUCUAGGGCCGCUCUUGCAGCAUAUGGAGGUUCCCAGGCUAGGGGUCGAAUCGGAGCUGUCGCUGCCAGCACAGCAGAGCCACAGCAACCUGGGAUCCAAGCCACAUAUGCAACCUACACCAUAGCUCACAGCAACGCUGGAUCCUUAACCCACUGAGCAAGGCCAGGGAUCAAACCCACAACUUCAUGGUUCCUAGUCAGAUUCGUUAACCACUGAGCCAUGACAGGAACUCCGGGCUCUAUUUUGGAUUCUUUAUUCCAUUAAUCUGUGUGACUGUCCCUUCAUCAAUACCACACUGUUUUUGUUUAUUUUAUCUAUAUAAUAAGUCAAAAUCAGAUCAUUUUUUUCUCUAUCUUUAUUCUUCUUUUUAAUACUGCUUUUGUUAUCAUAGUUUAUUUUUCUGCUUAUAUAAAUUUUGGCAUCAGCUUGUCUAUAUCUGCAAAGAGUCAUUCUGGGAUUUUGAUAGAAAUUGCUUUAAACCCAUAGAUCAAUUCUGGGGAAAAUUGAUAUGUAUACUAUGUUGAGUCUUUUAAUCCCUGAACAUGGUAUAACUUUUCAUUUAUG
Molecule: long non-coding RNA, 2903 nt
Filed under: Sus scrofa (pig)
Lineage: Eukaryota; Metazoa; Chordata; Mammalia; Artiodactyla; Suidae
Description: lncRNA (ENSSSCG00060023689.1)
Source: RNAcentral